GCAUAUCAAUAAGCGGAGGAAAAGAAACCAACAGGGAUUGCCCUAGUAACGGCGAGUGAAGCGGCAACAGCUCAAAUUUGAAAUCUGGCUUCGGCCCGAGUUGUAAUUUGUAGAGGAUGCUUUGGGCGCGGCUCUAACUGAGUUCCCUGGAACGGGACGCCACAGAGGGUGAGAGCCCCGUAUAGUUAGAUGCCUAGCCUAUGUAAAGCUCCUUCGACGAGUCGAGUAGUUUGGGAAUGCUGCUCUAAAUGGGAGGUAAAUUUCUUCUAAAGCUAAAUAUUGGCCAGAGACCGAUAGCGCACAAGUAGAGUGAUCGAAAGAUGAAAAGCACUUUGAAAAGAGGGUUAAAUAGCACGUGAAAUUGUUGAAAGGGAAGCGCUUGUGACCAGACUUGCGCCGGGCAGAUCAUCCGGUGUUCUCACCGGUGCACUCUGCCCGGCUCAGGCCAGCAUCGGUUCUCGUGGGGGGAUAAAGGUCCCGGGAACGUAGCUCCUCCGGGAGUGUUAUAGCCCGGGGCGUAAUGCCCUCGUGGGGACCGAGGUUCGCGCAUCUGCAAGGAUGCUGGCGUAAUGGUCAUCAGCGACCCGUCUUGAAACACGGACCAAGGAGUCAAGGUUUUGCGCGAGUGUUUGGGUGUAAAACCCGCACGCGUAAUGAAAGUGAACGUAGGUGAGAGCUUCGGCGCAUCAUCGACCGAUCCUGAUGUAUUCGGAUGGAUUUGAGUAAGAGCGUUAAGCCUUGGACCCGAAAGAUGGUGAACUAUGCUUGGAUAGGGUGAAGCCAGAGGAAACUCUGGUGGAGGCUCGCAGCGGUUCUGACGUGCAAAUCGAUCGUCAAAUCUGAGCAUGGGGGCGAAAGACUAAUCGAACCAUCUAGUAGCUGGUUACCGCC
Molecule: ribosomal RNA, 891 nt
Filed under: Trichocladium asperum
Lineage: Eukaryota; Fungi; Ascomycota; Sordariomycetes; Sordariales; Chaetomiaceae
Description: eukaryotic LSU rRNA
Rfam family: Eukaryotic large subunit ribosomal RNA
Source: RNAcentral